Molecule: ribosomal RNA, 648 nt
Filed under: Brevipalpus azores
Lineage: Eukaryota; Metazoa; Arthropoda; Arachnida; Trombidiformes; Tenuipalpidae
Description: partial large subunit ribosomal RNA
Source: RNAcentral
GGACGUGAACCGCUCGUAGGGAAACGGAUAGAACCACGAAGUGUAGCUGGAAGGAGAAUUCAGCUCUUUCGCACGGUGUUGCCGGAACAUCAGGCUGUGGGGUAUGCUUUCAUACAGCAUCAAGAUCACCAGUGCCGGGGUAACUCGGUGCUGGCCUUGAGCCCCGCGGUCUACGGUAUGUUCCAGGAUAACUCUAGGCAACAUUCGUGUGGGGAGUGCAUUUUCUCAUCUUCCGAGCUCGAGUCUCGACCAGUGUGGCGGAGUAUUGAGAGAAUACUCGUAUACAGUGGCCAUAGAAAGGUAUGCUAACACCAUACCUGAUCUACACACGGUUUACUCAACACUACUGUGCAUCCUUGCGGUGCACAGACUAGUGUUGAGCCGGGUUAGUCAGCUAUGGCCACAUACACACUGGACAAGAAUCUCUGCGUAUGCAGGGUCAACACAAUGCCCGGUGAGGUGCUCCCGGUAUACCCGAGUAGUGUAUUCGUUAUUGAAUGCUGUUUUUGUACUCAGUGCAAGAACGAUUCAUGGUUACGCUAUCUCUUUGGUGGUGUGCUAGUACAUCUCGCUGUGGUUAUCUUGGACUGUUGAUAUGAUUCGGAGGCAAGUAGAUCGGUACUCUAUCCGACCCGUCUUGAAACACGG